GAUGAAGAACGCAGCGAAAUGCGAUAAGUAAUGUGAAUUGCAGAAUUCAGUGAAUCAUCGAAUCUUUGAACGCACAUUGCGCCCUCUGGUAUUCCGGGGGGCAUGCCUGUUCGAGCGUCAUUACAACCCUCAAGCUUUGCUUGGUAUUGGACAUUGCCAGUUUCUGGCAGGUCUUAAAAUCAGUGGCGGUGCCAUUUGGCUUCAAGCGUAGUAAUUCUUCUCGCUUUGGAGAUCCAGGUGGUUACUUGCCAAUAACCCCCAAUUUUUUCAGGUUGACCUCGGAUCAGGUAGGGAUACCCGCUGAACUUAAGCAUAUCAAAAGCGGAGGA
RNAcentral lists this unclassified non-coding RNA (329 nucleotides) under soil metagenome. RNAcentral describes it as "partial contains 5.8S ribosomal RNA, internal transcribed spacer 2, and large subunit ribosomal RNA". The stretch from base 1 to 120 matches the Rfam family "5.8S ribosomal RNA", at positions 35 to 154 of the family's 154-position model. The record is from RNAcentral.